Molecule: ribosomal RNA, 477 nt
Filed under: uncultured bacterium
Lineage: Bacteria
Description: bacterial SSU rRNA
Rfam family: Bacterial small subunit ribosomal RNA
Source: RNAcentral
ACUCCUACGGGAGGCAGCAGUGGGGAAUAUUGGACAAUGGGCGAAAGCCUGAUCCAGCCAUGCCGCGUGUGUGAAGAAGGUCUUCGGAUUGUAAAGCACUUUAAGUUGGGAGGAAGGGCAGUAAGUUAAUACCUUGCUGUUUUGUACGUUACCAACAGAAUAAGCACCGGCUAACUUCGUGCCAGCAGCCGCGGUAAUACGAAGGGGUGCAAGCGUUAAUCGGAAUUACUGGGCGUAAAGCGCGCGUAGGUGGUUCAGCAAGUUGGAUGUGAAAUCCCCGGGGCUCAACCUGGGAACUGCAUCCAAAACUACUGAGCUAGAGUACGGUAGAGGGUGGUGGAAUUUCCUGUGUAGCGGUGAAAUGCGUAGAUAUAGGAAGGGACACCAGUGGCGAAGGCGACCACCUGGACCGAUACUGACACUGAGGUGCGAAAGCGUGGGGAGCAAACAGGAUUAGAUACCCCUGGUAGGAUAGCG